RNAcentral lists this transfer RNA (72 nucleotides) under Opeltia flavorubescens. RNAcentral describes it as "tRNA-Glu (TTC) (tRNA-Glu-TTC-1-1)". It matches the Rfam family "tRNA". From Rfam's summary of the family: Transfer RNA (tRNA) molecules are approximately 80 nucleotides in length. Their secondary structure includes four short double-helical elements and three loops (D, anti-codon, and T loops). Lineage: Eukaryota; Fungi; Ascomycota; Lecanoromycetes; Teloschistales; Teloschistaceae. The record is from RNAcentral.
UCGAUAUUGGUCCAGCGGUAAGGAUUUCCCGCUUUCACCGGGAGGGCCGGGGUUCGACUCCCCGAUAUCGAA